RNAcentral lists this ribosomal RNA (468 nucleotides) under uncultured bacterium. RNAcentral's name for it is "partial 16S ribosomal RNA". It matches the Rfam family "Bacterial small subunit ribosomal RNA", at positions 28 to 507 of the family's 1533-position model. The record is from RNAcentral.
GACGAACGCUGGCGGCGUGCUUAACACAUGCAAGUCGAACGGAAAGGCCCUGCUUUUGUGGGGUGCUCGAGUGGCGAACGGGUGAGUAACACGUGAGUAACCUGCCCUUGACUUUGGGAUAACUUCAGGAAACUGGGGCUAAUACCGGAUAGGAGCUCCUGCUGCAUGGUGGGGGUUGGAAAGUUUCGGCGGUUGGGGAUGGACUCGCGGCUUAUCAGCUUGUUGGUGGGGUAGUGGCUUACCAAGGCUUUGACGGGUAGCCGACCUGAGAGGGUGACCGGCCACAUUGGGACUGAGAUACGGCCCAGACUCCUACGGGAGGCAGCAGUGGAGAAUAUUGCAGAAUGGGCGGAAGCCUGAUGCAGCAACGCCGCGUGCGGGAUGACGGCCUUCGGGUUGUAAACCGCUUUCGCCUGUGACGAAGCGUGAGUGACGGUAAUGGGUAAAGAAGCACCGGCUAACUACGUG